CUAGGUAUAGCUCAGUGGUAGAGUGCACGCUAAGCACAUGCAAAGUCCUGGGUUCAAUCCCCAGUACCUCCA
This 72-nucleotide transfer RNA is filed under the name Camelus bactrianus (Bactrian camel). It matches the Rfam family "tRNA". Rfam says of the family: Transfer RNA (tRNA) molecules are approximately 80 nucleotides in length. Their secondary structure includes four short double-helical elements and three loops (D, anti-codon, and T loops). Lineage: Eukaryota; Metazoa; Chordata; Mammalia; Artiodactyla; Camelidae. The record is from Rfam by way of RNAcentral. RNAcentral also lists the same sequence under 2 other names.